Nerophis ophidion (straightnose pipefish) is the source of this 388-nucleotide long non-coding RNA. RefSeq lists it as uncharacterized. The transcript is spliced from 3 exons. The record is from RefSeq and is a predicted model, not a curated record. NCBI's taxonomy places the organism in Eukaryota, Metazoa, Chordata, Actinopteri, Syngnathiformes, Syngnathidae.
GGGGAAGCCGGGUUACCUGGGAUACGGUGGGGCUGCAGGAGUGAUGGGUUACCCCGGCAACGAAGGAGGCCAAGGUCCUGAAGGAGAGAAGGGUCAGCGGGGCCUUGCAGGGCGUGUCGGACUGAAAGGCUCUCGGGGUAUUUCAGGACCACCAGGUUUUCCAGGACCCCCAGGCCUGCCGGUGACGACCACACACAUUUUGCAAAAUAUUACACUCAAGCACACUUUCUUACCUGUGUGAAGUUGCCCCCCCACCGUAUGAAAAUAAAAUAACACUGCCAGUUUCUAGAAUACAGUUUCUGACCAGUGACGUCAUCCAGUGUCCCCCCACCCCCUCCUGUCCCCCACCUUGUGAAAAAUCUCCCAAACAUGUCUAUUCCAUUUGUGC